UACGUAGGGGGCAAGCGUUAUCCGGAUUUACUGGGUGUAAAGGGGGCGCAGACGGCGAUGCAAGCCAGGAGUGAAAGCCCGGGGCCCAACCCCGGGACUGCCCUUGGAACUGCGUGGCUGGAGUGCAGGAGGGGCAGGCGGAAUUCCUGGUGUAGCGGUGAAAUGCGUAGAUAUCAGGAGGAACACCGGUGGCGAAGGCGGCCUGCUGGACAGCAACUGACGCUGAGGCGCGAAAGCGUGGGGAGCAAACAGG
RNAcentral lists this ribosomal RNA (253 nucleotides) under uncultured bacterium. Its description in RNAcentral is "partial 16S ribosomal RNA". It matches the Rfam family "Bacterial small subunit ribosomal RNA", at positions 524 to 776 of the family's 1533-position model. The record is from RNAcentral.